RNAcentral lists this ribosomal RNA (708 nucleotides) under uncultured Actinomycetales bacterium. RNAcentral's name for it is "bacterial SSU rRNA". It matches the Rfam family "Bacterial small subunit ribosomal RNA", at positions 63 to 777 of the family's 1533-position model. Lineage: Bacteria; Bacillati; Actinomycetota; Actinomycetes; Actinomycetales. The record is from RNAcentral.
CGAACGGAAAGGCUCCUUGCUUGCAAGGGGUACUCGAGUGGCGAACGGGUGAGUAACACGUGGGUGAUCUGCCUUGCACUUCGGGAUAAGCCUGGGAAACUGGGUCUAAUACCGGAUAGGACCAUGCUUUAGUGUGUGUGGUGGAAAGUUUUUUCGGUGCAAGAUGAGCCCGCGGCCUAUCAGCUUGUUGGUGGGGUAAUGGCCUACCAAGGCGACGACGGGUAGCCGGCCUGAGAGGGUGUACGGCCACAUUGGGACUGAGACACGGCCCAGACUCCUACGGGAGGCAGCAGUGGGGAAUAUUGCACAAUGGGCGCAAGCCUGAUGCAGCGACGCCGCGUGGGGGAUGAAGGCCUUCGGGUUGUAAACUCCUUUCGCUAGGGAAGAAGCCACUUGUGGUGACGGUACCUGGAUAAGAAGCACCGGCUAACUACGUGCCAGCAGCCGCGGUAAUACGUAGGGUGCGAGCGUUGUCCGGAAUUACUGGGCGUAAAGAGCUCGUAGGUGGUUUGUCGCGUCGUCUGUGAAAUCCCGGGGCUUAACUUCGGGCGUGCAGGCGAUACGGGCAUAACUAGAGUGCUGUAGGGGAGACUGGAAUUCCUGGUGUAGCGGUGAAAUGCGCAGAUAUCAGGAGGAACACCGAUGGCGAAGGCAGGUGCCUGGGCAGUUACUGACGCUGAGGAGCGAAAGCAUGGGUAGCGAACAGGA